RNAcentral lists this ribosomal RNA (1198 nucleotides) under Escherichia coli. RNAcentral describes it as "bacterial LSU rRNA". It matches the Rfam family "Bacterial large subunit ribosomal RNA", at positions 1 to 1230 of the family's 2925-position model. Lineage: Bacteria; Pseudomonadati; Pseudomonadota; Gammaproteobacteria; Enterobacterales; Enterobacteriaceae. RNAcentral also lists the same sequence under 1 other name. The record is from RNAcentral.
GGGUUGUGAGGUUAAGCGACUAAGCGUACACGGUGGAUGCCCUGGCAGUCAGAGGCGAUGAAGGACGUGCUAAUCUGCGAUAAGCGUCGGUAAGGUGAUAUGAACCGUUAUAACCGGCGAUUUCCGAAUGGGGAAACCCAGUGUGUUUCGACACACUAUCAUUAACUGAAUCCAUAGGUUAAUGAGGCGAACCGGGGGAACUGAAACAUCUAAGUACCCCGAGGAAAAGAAAUCAACCGAGAUUCCCCCAGUAGCGGCGAGCGAACGGGGAGGAGCCCAGAGCCUGAAUCAGUGUGUGUGUUAGUGGAAGCGUCUGGAAAGGCGCGCGAUACAGGGUGACAGCCCCGUACACAAAAAUGCACAUACUGUGAGCUCGAUGAGUAGGGCGGGACACGUGGUAUCCUGUCUGAAUAUGGGGGGACCAUCCUCCAAGGCUAAAUACUCCUGACUGACCGAUAGUGAACCAGUACCGUGAGGGAAAGGCGAAAAGAACCCCGGCGAGGGGAGUGAAAAAGAACCUGAAACCGUGUACGUACAAGCAGUGGGAGCCUCUUUUAUGGGGUGACUGCGUACCUUUUGUAUAAUGGGUCAGCGACUUAUAUUCUGUAGCAAGGUUAACCGAAUAGGGGAGCCGAAGGGAAACCGAGUCUUAACUGGGCGUUAAGUUGCAGGGUAUAGACCCGAAACCCGGUGAUCUAGCCAUGGGCAGGUUGAAGGUUGGGUAACACUAACUGGAGGACCGAACCGACUAAUGUUGAAAAAUUAGCGGAUGACUUGUGGCUGGGGGUGAAAGGCCAAUCAAACCGGGAGAUAGCUGGUUCUCCCCGAAAGCUAUUUAGGUAGCGCCUCGUGAAUUCAUCUCCGGGGGUAGAGCACUGUUUCGGCAAGGGGGUCAUCCCGACUUACCAACCCGAUGCAAACUGCGAAUACCGGAGAAUGUUAUCACGGGAGACACACGGCGGGUGCUAACGUCCGUCGUGAAGAGGGAAACAACCCAGACCGCCAGCUAAGGUCCCAAAGUCAUGGUUAAGUGGGAAACGAUGUGGGAAGGCCCAGACAGCCAGGAUGUUGGCUUAGAAGCAGCCAUCAUUUAAAGAAAGCGUAAUAGCUCACUGGUCGAGUCGGCCUGCGCGGAAGAUGUAACGGGGCUAAACCAUGCACCGAAGCUGCGGCAGCGACGCUUAUGCGUUGUUGGGUA